RNAcentral lists this long non-coding RNA (1342 nucleotides) under Anas platyrhynchos platyrhynchos (common mallard). Its description in RNAcentral is "lncRNA (ENSAPLG00000021895.1)". The record is from RNAcentral. Lineage: Eukaryota; Metazoa; Chordata; Aves; Anseriformes; Anatidae.
AUGGAGCUCAAAGUGUAUGUGUGUGCAUACAAACACAUGUGGAGGUGCCUACUAAUAUACUUAGAUAUUUUAAAUGAAAACAUUGCUAUAAGACUUUGUCAUGAGUUUAUGGAACAUACUUUUUUUUUUUUUCUUUUUAUAGAAAAAAACUUAUCGACCACAAAAUCAAGAAGGAUACUACCUUGUGUAGAUUACUUAUGGCAGGUGUCAGUAUUUAGUUACACUGUAGUAGGUUCCUUUAGAAACACUGCAUGUGAAAAGAGAGUGAUCUUCAAAGCUGCUCACCUUCAUAAAUUUUCAAGUUUCAUGAAUGUCUUCUUGAAAGGAGCAUUGGGGGCCUGACUGUUACCAGAUGAGUCACAGAGGCAACUUCAGUUUCAGCCAUGGCACACCAUGGACAAAGAUUAAAGGAUUAAACUUCAGCCUAACCAAGAUCUUCAACAUGAAGCAGUGGAUGAAAAUGUCACUUCACAUCUAGAAAUUAUCAAUAUCUUUCAUGGUUAUAAACUGAGAAUGUUCUUCUGUGAAAUUUGGACCAAGCUGAGGCCUUACAAAUGCCUCGCAAAGUUGUUCCUGAGGGAAAGGGGAGGGUGGACCUGCAGGCUCCUCAGCAAGGCAGUUGGGGGAGCCUUCUCCAAAGCUUCUUCCAGAUUUCUCUUGAAGAACCUCAAGGCUACCAGUGCUUUCCCGAAAGCUCCCAGCAUUGAGUGGCCAAAGAAACUCCAGUGGUCAGGGCCUUCAUGCCAUGCAGUGGAAGUUGCACUUAGUUUUGAACCCUGCAUGAGCUCAUAUGAUUGUACCUGCAGUCUUUGUACACCCAACAUUUCCCCUUACACCUGCCCUGCAUGACGUGUAUACUGCAAACGAGUACAGUGCGUGGUAGUCCCCAGGAACUGCUGUUUGAUUCCUUUCAUGGGAGCUCUCACAGUCAGACCAAAGGGGGACACUGGAAAAACCUGCAAUGGUAGUUUAACAAACACCUCAUGGCGGCAGCAUCUCCAGAGCUUGUACACGUAAAAGUUACAGAGCCAAACAGAAAGCAAUGGAUUUAUGAAAGAUAAGAGCACAUGUUGAUAAAUCAUGCUUUUAAUACACGGUGUAUUAACCAAUUCAAAAAAACAAAAUCAGAGUUGUGGAGAGAGCACAUUGCCUGUAAAUUACAGACUUCUGUCUGAGGAGUGUGUUUGUUUAUGGGAUAUUAGAGUCUCAUGAUGAACCAUGGGAAAACAACAACAACAACAACAACAGACAACAUACAUACCAUUAACUGGGAAAGCAAAACAUCCUUUUGUAUCAACCAAAUCUUUUUGUAGACAACCAAAUCUUAGUGCUUUCUGUAGCU